Molecule: ribosomal RNA, 468 nt
Filed under: uncultured bacterium
Lineage: Bacteria
Description: partial 16S ribosomal RNA
Rfam family: Bacterial small subunit ribosomal RNA
Source: RNAcentral
GACGAACGCUGGCGGCGUGCUUAACACAUGCAAGUCGAACGGAAAGGCCCUGCUUUUGUGGGGUGCUCGAGUGGCGAACGGGUGAGUAACACGUGAGUAACCUGCCCUUGACUUUGGGAUAACUUCAGGAAACUGGGGCUAUUACCGGAUAGGAGCUCCUGCUGCAUGGUGGGGGUUGGAUAGUUUCGGCGGUUGGGGAUGGACUCGCGGCUAAUCAGCUUGUUGGUGGGGUAGUGGCUUACCAAGGCUUUGACGGGUAGCCGGCCUGAGAGGGUGACCGGCCACAUUGGGAGUGAGAUACGGCCCAGACUCGUACGGGAGGCAGCAGUGGUGAAGAUGGCACAAUGGGCGGAAGCCUAAUGCGGCAACGCCGCGUGCGGGAUGACGGCCUUGGGGUUGUAAACCGCUUUCGCCUGUGACGAAGCGUGAGUGACGGUAAUGGGUAAAGAAGCACCGGCUAACUACGUG